This is a long non-coding RNA of Seriola dumerili (greater amberjack), 322 nucleotides long. RefSeq lists it as uncharacterized. The transcript has 3 exons. The record is from RefSeq and is a predicted model, not a curated record. NCBI's taxonomy places the organism in Eukaryota, Metazoa, Chordata, Actinopteri, Carangiformes, Carangidae.
CUCCGCUUUUAUUGUGAAGGAGUCGGCGCGGAAGUGUUAUUGUUGUUGGCGGAACGGGCUAACAGGAGCUAACUGGAGCUAACUGGAGCUAAAAGAGCUAACAUGACGGAAUAAGUGAUGGCUGCGGACAUCAGUCCAGCAUGGACAAACAGGCGGCGUCCAGCAGGAGAAGAUGUCUGUCCCACGCAGUCUAAAUCUCUGAGGAUGGAUGGACAGAUGAGCGUCUUCAGACGGGACAGGAAGUCACACACAGUGUCCACACACAGCUCCUCUGAGGAUAGAACACCUGCUUCAGGUAGCGGGAUAAUGGGGGAGGAGGCGG